GCCGAUGUGGCUCAGGUGGUAGAGCAAUUGAUUCGUAAUCAAUAGGCCGGGAGUUCGAGUCUCCCCAUCGGCACCA
RNAcentral lists this transfer RNA (76 nucleotides) under Acinetobacter sp. RNAcentral's name for it is "tRNA-Thr". It matches the Rfam family "tRNA". From Rfam's summary of the family: Transfer RNA (tRNA) molecules are approximately 80 nucleotides in length. Their secondary structure includes four short double-helical elements and three loops (D, anti-codon, and T loops). RNAcentral also lists the same sequence under 8 other names. Lineage: Bacteria; Pseudomonadati; Pseudomonadota; Gammaproteobacteria; Moraxellales; Moraxellaceae. The record is from RNAcentral.